Molecule: long non-coding RNA, 548 nt
Organism: Phyllostomus discolor (pale spear-nosed bat)
Lineage: Eukaryota; Metazoa; Chordata; Mammalia; Chiroptera; Phyllostomidae
Exons: 3
Source: RefSeq, a predicted model, not a curated record
UCCCUCACUUCCCCCUGCUUGCCCAGGGGAAAUGACUGGUUAGCCAAUGACCGGUAAGACUCCUCAAGGGUGGGACAACCUAAGACAGGCACAGUCACAUUGGGCCAUCAGGGAAGGACUUAGGGGUCUAUAGAGAAGGGGCAGAAAUACCCUCACCCCUUGGCUGUGUCUUAGCCUGAGUCUUCAUUCUUUCUGUAAAAUCUCCUAUUCUCUUGGCUGCUUUGUUCUCUCAGGCUGACUCAGCCUGGAACAAUGCCAGAGGCAGCUGCAGCCUUGUACUGGAACGGACAGCUCCUGUGGGUGAAUCUGGCCAGAGAAAGAAUAUACAUUGUUUCCUUUGAGGCUUGCUCCACCCUGUUGCUAUGAAACAGACACUUGAGCUAAAGCCAACACUGACCAGAGACAAUCACCUGUAUUUCUUCAACUAUUACCUGUAAAUGAUGUCAGUUUUUCAUGACUGUAGCUUUUUGGACAUUGGUUGAUGAGCUUUUCAUGCAUACCAUGUAUCUCUGUGUGAGCUGAACUCAAUAAACUCAAGUAGGGAAAGA